AGUGAACGCUGGCGGUAGGCCUAACACAUGCAAGUCGAACGGCAGCACAGUAAGAGCUUGCUCUUACGGGUGGCGAGUGGCGGACGGGUGAGGCAUACAUCGGAAUCUACUUUUUCGUGGGGGAUAACGUAGGGAAACUUACGCUAAUACCGCAUACGACCUACGGGUGAAAGCAGGGGAUCUUCGGACCUUGCGCGAUUGAAUGAGCCGAUGUCGGAUUAGCUAGUUGGCGGGGUAAAGGCCCACCAAGGCGACGAUCCGUAGCUGGUCUGAGAGGAUGAUCAGCCACACUGGAACUUAGACACGGUCCAGACUCCUACGGGAGGCAGCAGUGGGGAAGAUUGUACAAUGGGCGCAAUCCUGAUCCAGCCAUACCGCGUGGGUGAAGAAGGCCUUCGGGUUGUAAAGCCCUUUUGUUGGGAAAGAAAAGCAGCAGGUUAAUACCCCGCUGUUCUGACGGUACCCAAAGAAUAAGCACCGGCUAACUUCGUG
RNAcentral lists this ribosomal RNA (492 nucleotides) under uncultured bacterium. RNAcentral describes it as "partial 16S ribosomal RNA". It matches the Rfam family "Bacterial small subunit ribosomal RNA", at positions 29 to 507 of the family's 1533-position model. The record is from RNAcentral.